This 283-nucleotide ribosomal RNA is filed under the name Duganella flavida. RNAcentral's name for it is "partial 23S ribosomal RNA". It matches the Rfam family "Bacterial large subunit ribosomal RNA", at positions 1 to 282 of the family's 2925-position model. Lineage: Bacteria; Pseudomonadati; Pseudomonadota; Betaproteobacteria; Burkholderiales; Oxalobacteraceae. The record is from RNAcentral.
GUUAUAGGGACAAGUGAAUAAGUGCACAUGGCGGAUGCCUUGGCGAUUACAGGCGAUGAAGGACGUAGUAGCUUGCGAUAAGCUGCGGGGAGCUAGCAAACAAGCUUUGAUCCGCAGAUUUCCGAAUGGGGAAACCCACCCUUUUAGGGUAUCACCCACUGAAUACAUAGGUGUGUGAGGCGAACGCGGCGAACUGAAACAUCUAAGUAGCUGCAGGAAAAGAAAUCAACCGAGAUUCCCAAAGUAGUGGCGAGCGAAAUGGGAAGAGCCUGUACGUGAUAGU